Molecule: ribosomal RNA, 253 nt
Filed under: uncultured bacterium
Lineage: Bacteria
Description: partial 16S ribosomal RNA
Rfam family: Bacterial small subunit ribosomal RNA
Source: RNAcentral
CACGUAGGAGGCGAGCGUUGUCCGGAAUCAUUGGGCGUAAAGAGCGCGUAGGCGGCUUGGCAAGUCGGGUGUGAAAUCCCGGGGCUCAACCCCGGGACUGCAUCCGAUACUGUCAGGCUAGAGGUAGGUAGGGGAGAUCGGAAUUCCUGGUGUAGCGGUGAAAUGCGCAGAUAUCAGGAGGAACACCGGUGGCGAAGGCGGAUCUCUGGGCCUUACCUGACGCUGAGGCGCGAAAGCUAGGGGAGCGAACAGG